GACGAACGCUGGCGGCGUGCUUAACACAUGCAAGUCGAACGGAAAGGCCCUGCUUUUGUGGGGUGCUCGAGUGGCGAAAGGGUGAGUAACACGUGAGUAACCUGCCCUUGACUUUGGGAUAACUUCAGGAAACUGGGGCUAAUACCGGAUAGGAGCUCCUGCUGCAUGGUGGGGGUUGGAAAGUUUCGGCGGUUGGGGAUGUACUCGCGGCUUAUCAGCUUGUUGGUGGGGUAGUGGCUUACCAAGGCUUUGACGGGUAGCCGGCCUGAGAGGGUGACCGGCCACAUUGGGCCUGGGGUACGGCCCAGACUGCUACGGGAGGCAGCAGUGGGGAAUAUUGCACAAUGGGCGGAAGCCUGAUGCAGCAACGCCGCGUGCGGGAUGACGGCCUUCGGGUUGUAAACCGCGUUCGCCUGUGACGAAGCGUGAGUGACGGUAAUGGGUAAAGAAGCACCGGCUAACUACGUG
This 468-nucleotide ribosomal RNA is filed under the name uncultured bacterium. RNAcentral describes it as "partial 16S ribosomal RNA". It matches the Rfam family "Bacterial small subunit ribosomal RNA", at positions 28 to 507 of the family's 1533-position model. The record is from RNAcentral.